RNAcentral lists this transfer RNA (44 nucleotides) under Abavorana luctuosa (mahogany frog). RNAcentral describes it as "partial tRNA-Glx". Lineage: Eukaryota; Metazoa; Chordata; Amphibia; Anura; Ranidae. The record is from RNAcentral.
UUAAAGAGACAGGCAUUGAACCUGUACUAAAGAGAUCAAAACUC